GCCCGGGUGUCGGAACUGGUAGACGACGGUGCCUUAAAAGCGCCUGCCCUUCGGGGCGUGUGGGUUCGAAUCCCACCCCGGGCACCA
This 87-nucleotide transfer RNA is filed under the name Actinomycetota bacterium. RNAcentral's name for it is "tRNA-Leu". It matches the Rfam family "tRNA". From Rfam's summary of the family: Transfer RNA (tRNA) molecules are approximately 80 nucleotides in length. Their secondary structure includes four short double-helical elements and three loops (D, anti-codon, and T loops). Lineage: Bacteria; Bacillati; Actinomycetota. The record is from RNAcentral.